RNAcentral lists this ribosomal RNA (253 nucleotides) under uncultured bacterium. Its description in RNAcentral is "partial 16S ribosomal RNA". It matches the Rfam family "Bacterial small subunit ribosomal RNA", at positions 524 to 776 of the family's 1533-position model. The record is from RNAcentral.
UACGUAGGUGGCAAGCGUUGUCCGGAUUUACUGGGCGUAAAGAGCGCGCAGGCGGUCUGAUAAGUCGAAUGUGAAAGCCCCCGGCUCAACUGGGGAGGGUCAUUCGAUACUGUUCGACUCGAAGGCAGGAGAGGGAAGCGGAAUUCCCGGUGUAGUGGUGAAAUGCGUAGAUAUCUGGAGGAACACCGGUGGCGAAGGCGACAUCCUGGACCGGUAUUGACGCUGAGGCGCGAAAGCCAGGGGAGCAAACGGG